This 574-nucleotide ribosomal RNA is filed under the name Paracoccus aminovorans. RNAcentral describes it as "bacterial SSU rRNA". It matches the Rfam family "Bacterial small subunit ribosomal RNA", at positions 260 to 852 of the family's 1533-position model. The record is from RNAcentral. Lineage: Bacteria; Pseudomonadati; Pseudomonadota; Alphaproteobacteria; Rhodobacterales; Paracoccaceae.
AUGGCCUACCAAGCCGACGAUCCAUAGCUGGUUUGAGAGGAUGAUCAGCCACACUGGGACUGAAACACGGCCCAGACUCCUACGGGAGGCAGCAGUGGGGAAUCUUAGACAAUGGGGGCAACCCUGAUCUAGCCAUGCCGCGUGAGUGAUGAAGGCCUUAGGGUUGUAAAGCUCUUUCAGCUGGGAAGAUAAUGACGGUACCAGCAGAAGAAGCCCCGGCUAACUCCGUGCCAGCAGCCGCGGUAAUACGGAGGGGGCUAGCGUUGUUCGGAAUUACUGGGCGUAAAGCGCACGUAGGCGGACCAGAAAGUUGGGGGUGAAAUCCCGGGGCUCAACCUCGGAACUGCCUUCAAAACUAUUGGUCUGGAGUUCGAGAGAGGUGAGUGGAAUUCCGAGUGUAGAGGUGAAAUUCGUAGAUAUUCGGAGGAACACCAGUGGCGAAGGCGGCUCACUGGCUCGAUACUGACGCUGAGGUGCGAAAGCGUGGGGAGCAAGCAGGAUUAGAUACCCUGGUAGUCCACGCCGUAAACGAUGAAUGCCAGACGUCGGGCAGCAUGCUGUUCGGUGUCACACC